UACGGAGGGUGCAAACGUUGCUCGGAAUCAUUGGGCGUAAAGCGCGUGUAGGCGGCCAGCUAAGUCGAGUGUGAAAGCCCCGGGCUUAACCUGGGAAGUGCGCUCGAAACUGAUUGGCUAGAGUACGGGAGAGGGUAGUGGAAUUCCCGGUGUAGAGGUGAAAUUCGUAGAUAUCGGGAGGAACACCAGUGGCGAAGGCGGCUACCUGGACCGAUACUGACGCUGAGACGCGAAAGCGUGGGUAGCAAACAGG
RNAcentral lists this ribosomal RNA (253 nucleotides) under uncultured bacterium. Its description in RNAcentral is "partial 16S ribosomal RNA". It matches the Rfam family "Bacterial small subunit ribosomal RNA", at positions 524 to 776 of the family's 1533-position model. The record is from RNAcentral.